RNAcentral lists this ribosomal RNA (474 nucleotides) under uncultured bacterium. Its description in RNAcentral is "partial 16S ribosomal RNA". It matches the Rfam family "Bacterial small subunit ribosomal RNA", at positions 28 to 507 of the family's 1533-position model. The record is from RNAcentral.
GAUGAACGCUAGCGGCAGGCCUAACACAUGCAAGUCGAGGGAGGAGCUUUCGGGCUUCGACCGGCGUACGGGUGCGUAACGCGUAUACAAUCUGCCUUUCACAUAGGGAUAGCCCGAAGAAAUUUGGAUUAAUACCUAAUGGUAUAUAGGAGUGGCAUCACAUUUAUAUUAAAGCUGAGGCGGUGAAAGAUGAGUAUGCGUUCUAUUAGCUAGUUGGAGAGGUAAUGGCUCCCCAAGGCGACGAUAGAUAGGGGUUCUGAGAGGGAUAUCCCCCACACUGGUACUGAGAUACGGACCAGACUCCUACGGGAGGCAGCAGUGAGGAAUAUUGGACAAUGGUCGGAAGACUGAUCCAGCCAUGCCGCGUGCAGGAAGACGGCCUUAUGGGUUGUAAACUGCUUUUGCAGGGGAAGAAUAAGGACUACGAGUAGUUUGAUGACGGUACUCUGCGAAUAAGCAUCGGCUAACUCCGUG